AACGAACGCUGGCGGCAUGCCUAACACAUGCAAGUCGAACGAGACCUUCGGGUCUCGUGGCGCACGGGUGCGUAACGCGUGGGAACCUGCCCUUAGGUUCGGAAUAACUCCCCGAAAGGGGUGCUAAUACCGGAUAAUGUCUUCGGACCAAAGAUUUAUCGCCUUUGGAUGGGCCCGCGUGGGAUUAGCUAGUUGGUAGGGUAAAAGCCUACCAAGGCGACGAUCCAUAGCUGGUCUGAGAGGAUGAUCAGCCACACUGGGACUGAGACACGGCCCAGACUCCUACGGGAGGGAGCAGUGGGGAAUAGUGGACAAUGGGCGAAAGGCUGAUCCAGCAAGGCCGCGUGAGUGAUGAAGGCCUGAGGGUUGUAAAGCUCUUUUACCCGGGAUGAUAAUGACGGUACCGGGAGAAUAAGCUCCGGCUAACUCCGUG
Molecule: ribosomal RNA, 433 nt
Filed under: uncultured bacterium
Lineage: Bacteria
Description: partial 16S ribosomal RNA
Rfam family: Bacterial small subunit ribosomal RNA
Source: RNAcentral